AGUUUUGUUUGUUGACGAUUCCUGUGGCAUAUAUACCACUGUGCUGCCAACUAGGGCCCCAUGCAUGCACUACAACGCUCCACCACUGUGCUGCCAAUUAGUUGUCGUUUUGGGCUCUUAGCCCGUUUUCCUGCAGGGAUUUGAACCGUCGACCUUCAGCCUUGGAUCACAGAGAACUACCCACUUGAGCUACCUAAGAUUGUUGUAAAGAAGACACUACGUAAAAAAAGGAAAAAAAUACUCUCUCAUUACUCACUUCUUGGUAAGCACAAUUAUAUCCUAAACGACAACUAAUUUAGAUAUAGAGGGAGUACACAGCCCGCCCU
RNAcentral lists this long non-coding RNA (326 nucleotides) under Sorghum bicolor (sorghum). RNAcentral describes it as "long non-coding RNA (SBIC_LNC009480)". Lineage: Eukaryota; Viridiplantae; Streptophyta; Magnoliopsida; Poales; Poaceae. The record is from RNAcentral.